This 730-nucleotide ribosomal RNA is filed under the name Enterococcus faecalis. RNAcentral's name for it is "bacterial SSU rRNA". It matches the Rfam family "Bacterial small subunit ribosomal RNA", at positions 29 to 730 of the family's 1533-position model. The record is from RNAcentral. Lineage: Bacteria; Bacillati; Bacillota; Bacilli; Lactobacillales; Enterococcaceae.
ACGAACGCUGGCGGCGUGCCUAAUACAUGCAAGUCGAACGCUUCUUUCCUCCCGAGUGCUUGCACUCAAUUGGAAAGAGGAGUGGCGGACGGGUGAGUAACACGUGGGUAACCUACCCAUCAGAGGGGGAUAACACUUGGAAACAGGUGCUAAUACCGCAUAACAGUUUAUGCCGCAUGGCAUAAGAGUGAAAGGCGCUUUCGGGUGUCGCUGAUGGAUGGACCCGCGGUGCAUUAGCUAGUUGGUGAGGUAACGGCUCACCAAGGCCACGAUGCAUAGCCGACCUGAGAGGGUGAUCGGCCACACUGGGACUGAGACACGGCCCAGACUCCUACGGGAGGCAGCAGUAGGGAAUCUUCGGCAAUGGACGAAAGUCUGACCGAGCAACGCCGCGUGAGUGAAGAAGGUUUUCGGAUCGUAAAACUCUGUUGUUAGAGAAGAACAAGGACGUUAGUAACUGAACGUCCCCUGACGGUAUCUAACCAGAAAGCCACGGCUAACUACGUGCCAGCAGCCGCGGUAAUACGUAGGUGGCAAGCGUUGUCCGGAUUUAUUGGGCGUAAAGCGAGCGCAGGCGGUUUCUUAAGUCUGAUGUGAAAGCCCCCGGCUCAACCGGGGAGGGUCAUUGGAAACUGGGAGACUUGAGUGCAGAAGAGGAGAGUGGAAUUCCAUGUGUAGCGGUGAAAUGCGUAGAUAUAUGGAGGAACACCAGUGGCGAAGGCGGCUCUCU